GGGUCAGUAGGUUGGUCGUGCCACCGGUACGUACUGGUCUCACUGAUUCCUCCCUCCUGAAGAACCGUAAUGCCAUUAAUUUGGUGUUGCGGGGAAACAGGACUGUUACUUUGAAAGAAUUAGAGUGUUUAAAGCAAGCUAACGCUUGAAUACAUUAGCAUGGAAUAAUGAAAUAGGACGAUCGAUCCUAUUUUGUUGGUUUCUAGGAUUGACGUA
This 216-nucleotide ribosomal RNA is filed under the name Glomeromycotina sp. Its description in RNAcentral is "partial small subunit ribosomal RNA". The stretch from base 75 to 216 matches the Rfam family "Eukaryotic small subunit ribosomal RNA", at positions 721 to 864 of the family's 1831-position model. The record is from RNAcentral. Lineage: Eukaryota; Fungi; Glomeromycota.